Molecule: ribosomal RNA, 497 nt
Filed under: uncultured bacterium
Lineage: Bacteria
Description: partial 16S ribosomal RNA
Rfam family: Bacterial small subunit ribosomal RNA
Source: RNAcentral
GACGAACGCUGGCGGCGUGCCUAAUACAUGCAAGUUGAGCGCUCAGAUGUGGUACUUGUUCCUACUACAUUAGCGGCGGACGGGUGAGUAACGCGUGGAUAAUCUACCUUUAAGCCUGGGACAACUUUUGGAAACCGGUGCUAAUACCGCAUAAUAUCUUUAACCGCAUGGUUUAAUAUUGAAAGAUGCUAUUGCUUUCACUAAUAGAUGUCUCCGCGCCUCAUUACCUAUUUGGUAAGUAAACGCCUUACCAAGGGAACAAAGAGUGGCCGACUUGACAGGGUGUACGGCAAAACUGGAACGGGGACACGGUCAAGACUCCUAAGGAAGGAAGCAGAAGGGAAUCUUGCGCAAUGGGCGAAAGCCUGACGGAGCAACGCCGCGUGAGUGAUGAAGGUCUUCGGAUCGUAAAACUCUGUUAUUAGGGAAGAACAAAUGUGUAAGUAACUAUGCACGUCUUGACGGUACCUAAUCAGAAAGCCACGGCUAACUACGUG